This 1433-nucleotide long non-coding RNA is filed under the name Capsicum annuum. RNAcentral describes it as "long non-coding RNA (CANN_LNC020332)". Lineage: Eukaryota; Viridiplantae; Streptophyta; Magnoliopsida; Solanales; Solanaceae. The record is from RNAcentral.
UCCAACUCUGAACCAUUUCUUACAUAAAGGGGAGAGGGCGGGGGGAAACCGCGAAACUCUUUGAUUUUCAUCCCCUAGGUGGAUCGUCCAUCUUAUAUUGUAUUUAGUAUCUCAAACCUUUUCUAUUCCUUUUCUCUUUGAUGAUCCUCAGACGAGACUGUUGUGUGAUGACACUCAACCUCAACGGUAGAUGAAAAUAAGCUUAGUCAUAGAUUUGGCAAAUUCUCUUUCUAGCUCUAUCCCAUUGCUUAUUUGAAUUUUUUUUUUAAAAGAGUAGCCUGGUGCACUAUGGCUCCCGCUAUACGUGGGGUCCAUGGAAGAGCCCAACCACAAGGGUCUAUUGUACGCAGUCUUACCUUGGCAUGCAUUGUAAGUGGCUGUUCUCAAGGCUUGAACCCGUGACUUCCUGGUCACAUUGGAGCAACUUUACCAGUUAUUUCAAGGCUUCCUUUCACUUAUUUGAAAAAGUUAAUCACGAAUAAACUAAAAUAACCCGUGAAGGAACUAAUCAUAGGUGACACAGUUUUGAACUUCUUUCUUUGUCUUGGUGACUAUGGAAUCACAGGGUACGCAGAGUUGGAAUCAUAGGACACCAUGGCAAAAAACACAUGUCACUCUGGAUCUUCCCGUUUCCUCCUCCUGCUAACAACUUUCUCAGCCCAAAACACAUAUUUAUUAAUGUGGACAUGAUGUAGAUUUCAUCGCUUAUACUCGAAGGAAAUCUUUUAGUCCAUAUAUUUUAGUACAGACGAAUAUAGAUAUAUACAUAAAAAGACAUAUGUCCAGCAUAGAUUUCCCAGUCCUCCUUCUUUCUCUUCUUCUCAAUUUGUAAUGACUAUUCACUAGGUGUUAUCACGGACAAGAAAAGAUGGAAUACAGGUUACACGAAAGAGAAAAUCAACAGAAGAGGUUUGAGAUACUGUAUAAUGGACGAUCCACCAAGGGGAUAAAAAUGAAAGAGUUUCAUCUUCAACAGGUCUCACACCUUUCAGCCUGGAUUCCAUUUUUUAGGACUUGAAAUCUCCUACAAAAGUACACAAAGAGAAAUGGUGGAAAUAACAAGAGCAAGCGAAAAUAACAAGAGGGAAAAAAGAAGAAGUGGUUAAUAGUUGAAUGUAUGCAACCCGCUAAACAACAAGAUUACAUGAAUCUUGACUACAAUUAAAAUGAGUUAGUGGCAUGAUGGUCACUCAACUAAUGGAAAAUGGUCAUUAUAGUACUUCAAAUUUACCUAGUUAGCAUCAAUGAUUAUUUUAGUUGAAAAUACAAUUUUUUGUACCUACUUAAUGAAGAGACAACUAUAAAUUUUUAGGAAAAAAAGGAGGCUCAUUGUGUAAAGAAGGUAAGAAGCUAGUAUUCCAGGCACACAGAAUAUCAACCUACAUUUAUUAUAGGAAAAAUAUUAAAUCUCAGUAAAAUAUGAAUAGAUUAAG